GCUGUUUUCCCUGAAUUUCCUUGUUGCUUUUUAUCUAAGCAAGAUCAUUCUUUUCCGACAGCGUUCUGUGAAGAGGGCUGCAGAUUCGGUGGGACAUGUGUGACUCCCAACAAAUGUGCCUGUCCGCCUGGAUUCACGGAAGUCAUUGCGAGAAAGUAUUGCUACCUGAAAAUCUGCAAGAAACACCAAGCAUACACUCAACCCUAGGUGUGGAGCUAUUUCUAGACUUGAAUUCCUUAACCUUGAUAUCAUCCUGGAAGAGACGACUCCUUCUUGUGGAGAACUGGGUUGUGCAGUGUAGGACCCUCAGCAGCAUCACCGAACUGACUUUGUCUAAGUGUCAUUAGCACCCACAUAUAAUAAAAAAUGUCACUUGAUGCUGUCAAAUAUCUUCUUCUAGGAAGAACUGAGAACUCCUGGCCCUG
This 425-nucleotide long non-coding RNA is filed under the name Fukomys damarensis (Damara mole-rat). RNAcentral describes it as "lncRNA (ENSFDAG00000023678.1)". Lineage: Eukaryota; Metazoa; Chordata; Mammalia; Rodentia; Bathyergidae. The record is from RNAcentral.